RNAcentral lists this ribosomal RNA (434 nucleotides) under uncultured bacterium. RNAcentral's name for it is "bacterial SSU rRNA". It matches the Rfam family "Bacterial small subunit ribosomal RNA", at positions 248 to 674 of the family's 1533-position model. The record is from RNAcentral.
GUUGGUGAGAUAGUAGCUCACCAAGGCGACGAUGCAUAGCCGACCUGAGAGGGUGAUCGGCCACACUGGGACUGAGACACGGCCCAGACUCCUACGGGAGGCAGCAGUAGGGAAUCUUCCGCAAUGGACGAAAGUCUGACGGAGCAACGCCGCGUGAGUGAUGAAGGGUUUCGGCUCGUAAAACUCUGUUGUUAAGGAAGAAUACUUGAGGUAGUAACUGGCCUUGAGAUGACGGUACUUAACCAGAAAGCCACGGCUAACUACGUGCCAGCAGCCGCGGUAAUACGUAGGUGGCAAGCGUUAUCCGGAAUUAUUGGGCGUAAAGCGCGCGUAGGCGGUAAAAUAAGUCUGAUGUGAAAGCCCCCGGCUCAACCGGGGAGGGUCAUUGGAAACUGUCAAACUUGAGUGCAGAAGGGGAGAGUGGAAUUCCAUGU